AUUGAACGCUGGCGGCAUGCCUUACACAUGCAAGUCGAACGGCAGCACGGGAGCAAUCCUGGUGGCGAGUGGCGAACGGGUGAGUAAUAUAUCGGAACGUGCCCGGUCGUGGGGAUAACGUAGCGAAAGCUACGCUAAUACCGCAUACGAUCUACGGAUGAAAGCGGGGGAUCGCAAGACCUCGCGCGAUUGGAGCGGCCGAUAUCAGAUUAGGUAGUUGGUGAGGUAAAGGCUCACCAAGCCGACGAUCUGUAGCUGGUCUGAGAGGACGACCAGCCACACUGGGACUGAGACACGGCCCAGACUCCUACGGGAGGCAGCAGUGGGGAAUUUUGGGACAAUGGGCGCAAGCCUGAUCCAGCAAUGCCGCGUGCAGGAUGAAGGCCUCGGUGUAACUGNUUUGUUACGGUAACGAACGGUAGAGC
RNAcentral lists this ribosomal RNA (425 nucleotides) under uncultured bacterium. RNAcentral describes it as "bacterial SSU rRNA". It matches the Rfam family "Bacterial small subunit ribosomal RNA", at positions 30 to 459 of the family's 1533-position model. The record is from RNAcentral.